RNAcentral lists this non-coding RNA (22 nucleotides) under Arabidopsis thaliana (thale cress). The record is from RNAcentral. Lineage: Eukaryota; Viridiplantae; Streptophyta; Magnoliopsida; Brassicales; Brassicaceae.
GAAAGGCCGUUAAGCUAUCCCC